GCUAUACAUGCAGUCGAGCGAGCAAUUUUGACGGAAUACUUCGGUAGGAAGUCAGAAGCGCGAGCGGCGGAUGGGUGAGUAACACGUGGGCAACCUGCCCUUUAGCUUGGGAUACCACUUGGAAACAGGUGCUAAUACCAAAUAAGCAGCACGAGCGCAUGCUCAAGCUGAGAAAGGCGGCUUUCGAGCUGUCACUAAAGGAUGGGCCCGCGGUGCAUUAGCUAGUUGGUAAGGUAACGGCUUACCAAGGCGAUGAUGCAUAGCCGAGUUGAGAGACUGACCGGCCACAUUGGGACUGAGACACGGCCCAAACUCCUACGGGAGGCAGCAGUAGGGAAUCUUCCACAAUGGACGCAAGUCUGAUGGAGCAACGCCGCGUGAGUGAAGAAGGUUUUCGGAUCGUAAAGCUCUGUUGUUGGUGAAGAAGGACAAGGGUAGUAACUGAUUCUUGUUUGACGGUAAUCAACCAGAAAGUCACGGCUAACUACGUGCCAGCAGCCGCGGUAAUACGUAGGUGGCAAGCGUUGUCCGGAUUUAUUGGGCGUAAAGCGAACGCAGGCGGGAGAAUAAGUCAGCUGUGAAAGCCCCCAGCUUAACUGGGGAACUGCAACUGAAACUAUUUUUCUUGAGUGCAGAAGAGGAGAGUGGAACUCCAUGUGUAGCGGUGGAAUGCGUAGAUAUAUGGAAGAACACCAGUGGCGAAGGCGGCUCUCUGGUCUGUAACUGACGCUGAGGUUCGAAAGCAUGGGUAGCGAACAGGAUUAGAUACCCUGGUAGUCCAUGCCGUAAACGAUGAGUGCUAAGUGUUGGGAGGUUUCCGCCUCUCAGUGCUGCAGCUAACGCAUUAAGCACUCCGCCUGGGGAGUACGACCGCAAGGUUAAAACUCAAAGGAAUUGACGGGGGCCCGCACAAGCGGUGGAGCAUGUGGUUUAAUUCGAAGCAACGCGAAGAACCUUACCAGGUCUUGACAUCUAGUGCCAGUCCUAGAGAUAGGAUGUUUCCUUC
Molecule: ribosomal RNA, 1006 nt
Filed under: Lactobacillus sp. Amsbbr17
Lineage: Bacteria; Bacillati; Bacillota; Bacilli; Lactobacillales; Lactobacillaceae
Description: bacterial SSU rRNA
Rfam family: Bacterial small subunit ribosomal RNA
Source: RNAcentral